AGUGAACGCUGGCGGUAGGCCUAACACAUGCAAGUCGAACGGCAGCACAGUAAGAGCUUGCUCUUACGGGUGGCGAGUGGCGGACGGGUGAGGAAUACAUCGGAAUCUACUUUUUCGUGGGGGAUAACGUAGGGAAACUUACGCUAAUACCGCAUACGACCUACGGGUGAAAGCAGGGGAUCUUCGGACCUUGCGCGAUUGAAUGAGCUGAUGUCGGAUUAGCUAGUUGGCGGGGUAAAGGCCCACCAAGGCGACGAUCCGUAGCUGGUCUGAGAGGAUGAUCAGCCACACUGGAACUGAGACACGGUCCAGACUCCUACGGGAGGCAGCAGUGGGGAAUAUUGGACAAAGGGCGCAAGCCUGAUCCAGCCAUACCGCGUGGGUGAAGAAGGCCUUCGGGUUGUAAAGCCCUUUUGUUGGGAAAGAAAAGCAGCAGGUUAAUACCCCGCUGUUCUGACGGUACCCAAAGAAUAAGCACCGGCUAACUUCGUG
This 492-nucleotide ribosomal RNA is filed under the name uncultured bacterium. RNAcentral's name for it is "partial 16S ribosomal RNA". It matches the Rfam family "Bacterial small subunit ribosomal RNA", at positions 29 to 507 of the family's 1533-position model. The record is from RNAcentral.